CAGUAGCCGCGGUAAUACGUAGGGUGCAAGCGUUAAUCGGAAUUACUGGGCGUAAAGCGUGCGCAGGCGGUUUGUUAAGACAGAUGUGAAAUCCCCGGGCUCAACCUGGGAACUGCAUUUGUGACUGGCAAGCUAGAGUGUGGCAGAGGGGGGUGGAAUUCCGCGUGUAGCAGUGAAAUGCGUAGAUAUGCGGAGGAACACCGAUGGCGAAGGCAGCCCCCUGGGCCAACACUGACACUCAUGCACGAAAGCGUGGGGAGCAAACAGGAUUAGAUACCCCGGUAGUCCCUGUCUCUUAUAC
Molecule: ribosomal RNA, 301 nt
Filed under: uncultured bacterium
Lineage: Bacteria
Description: partial 16S ribosomal RNA
Rfam family: Bacterial small subunit ribosomal RNA
Source: RNAcentral